Molecule: transfer RNA, 108 nt
Filed under: Clonostachys rosea f. rosea IK726
Lineage: Eukaryota; Fungi; Ascomycota; Sordariomycetes; Hypocreales; Bionectriaceae
Rfam family: tRNA
About the family: Transfer RNA (tRNA) molecules are approximately 80 nucleotides in length.
Source: RNAcentral
GGCCCCUUGGCGCAGUGGUCAGCGCAUUACUGGUUGUUGCACUCUCACUCUGAGCCGUUGGCAGCACACACGCAGUAAAGGUCCUCGGUUCGAAUCCCUGGGGGGCCA